Molecule: transfer RNA, 92 nt
Filed under: Bacteroidetes bacterium CG23_combo_of_CG06-09_8_20_14_all_32_9
Lineage: Bacteria; Pseudomonadati; Bacteroidota
Description: tRNA-Ser
Rfam family: tRNA
About the family: Transfer RNA (tRNA) molecules are approximately 80 nucleotides in length.
Source: RNAcentral
GGAGAGAUGGCAGAGUGGUCGAAUGCGGCGGUCUCGAAAACCGUUGUUCGCUUUCCGGCGGACCGGGGGUUCGAAUCCCCCUCUCUCCGCUA